UUUAGUUGCAAUAAGAAUGGUGGCAGUUUCUUUAUCCCACUGAUGGCAAGCAAAGAGCUCCAGUGCUUCCACAAGAUUUCAUUGUGUAAUAAACAGUACUAGAAAUCAGGCAUCCUGUUACAUGAGGAAUGGUUUGAAAACAGGAGCUUUCAGGGCUGUCAGUACAAUGGUUCCCUAUGACCCAACCCACACAUGUGCCCAGCACCAUGCCUGCAGUGGUCAUGUGAAGGGAAGGACCAACACUAAACACUCACAAAACGCCUGUUGUGCUUUCUCAAACUGUUGCCAUAACAUGCUAAUAACUAUUUUAUGAUCUUACUAAAUAAUAAUUAGAAUUCCUAGUACCUGUCUUGGCUGAUUAAGGUAAUUAUGGUGCUUCCUAGUACGGCAGUACCUCAGAUUACUGUUGCUGUUUGCUUCUCUUGCCAAGUAUAAACCAGGAAUUUUUGCACGGCCUCGUUCAGGAACCAUUGCAGUUGGAUACGAAUUUGCAUGCGUGCAGCUGUGCUCAUCUUGUACUGCUUUCAGUGACCAGCGUGCAAUGAUAGGUCACUAAAUGUCAUUCCCUGAUUCGCGUAGACGCAUUGGGAACUUGCAUCAAAAGCAAACAAAGAGAAAAAGCAGCUCUUCUUGCACGAAUCCGCUCCCACGUGCGAAAAGCGCUGUCUAUCCUACACCUCAGCCGGAUCUGUGCAGCUGGUUGAGGCGGAGCUCGCGGCUCUACUCCGCACGAGCAGCGGCGCUGCUGGAGGAGCUGCUCCCCAGGCGCGCGCCCCGCCGCUCCGCGCGCAGGCGAAGGUGUGAGGGCGGGGAGAUGCCGGUGCUCGCAGCUCGGCCCCGGCUUCUGUCCUCAACGCACCGCGCCGCUACGGAUUUCUUCCGUCAUUUUGGGGGCUCUUAAGGAGCCGUCGAGGGUUUCUGAGACUCUGCAAUUCCGUCUCGACGCUUCCUGCGGCCGCUGGGUAUGGAGAGAAGCAGCUUUAGAAGAUGCUUUUGACAAAAAAAAACAUAUAUGUACGAAGUUUGCACUAGACAAGAAGUGAUGGAGCUGAACACAAAUGGCAGCACUAACUUCUCAAGGCACUCUUGACAGAAGUCUACACGCUGGAUAAACCCAAGUGUCCUCAGCCUCUCCUCAGAGGAAGUACCCUCUCGCCCUUUUAUCCGCUUUGUUGCCUACCUCUGCACACUUUCAAGGACCCAAACAUCAUUUUAAAUUGUGGAUUCCAGAACUGCAUGUAGUUUUCAAGAAAUAUCUUUGGCCCACAGAGUCCAGAUUGGAGAAGAUCCAGCCCAAAAGGGCAACAAAAAGGUGAAUAACUUCACAAGGUAACCUGCUUCAGCAAGGGGUUGGAAUAGAUGACCUCUAGAGAUCCCUUCAGGCCUCUGUGAUUCUGUGAUUUAGUGUGAUUCUGUGUAUGUGUUGACCUGUUCGUUCUGAAAUUGAAAUUACUUUGCCUACUAAUGCUUUUCUACUGUUCACUUGGAGGGUUUUUUAAUGAUAUUUACUCCAUUUUUCAAACUUAAAUGAAUCUACACAUUUAGUUUAUACCUGAAAUACAGAACUUGUAUAAGCAAUAGAAAUUUUAUUGCUUUCCUGUAAAGCAGUCUUCAGUUUAUUAUAACUCUG
Tympanuchus pallidicinctus (lesser prairie-chicken) is the source of this 1630-nucleotide long non-coding RNA. RefSeq lists it as uncharacterized. The record is from RefSeq and is a predicted model, not a curated record. The transcript is spliced from 5 exons. NCBI's taxonomy places the organism in Eukaryota, Metazoa, Chordata, Aves, Galliformes, Phasianidae.